Pelobates cultripes (western spadefoot toad) is the source of this 216-nucleotide non-coding RNA. The record is from the annotation of a GenBank genome assembly. NCBI's taxonomy places the organism in Eukaryota, Metazoa, Chordata, Amphibia, Anura, Pelobatidae.
CUGGUAUCUGGUUGCACUCUACAAGUGUAGGUAAGGGUAAUUGUAAGAUCUCUCCUAGAGAGGACACAAUAAAUCCAUGGGCCCUUCUUCCAAAGACCUCCGUAGUGCCGCUACAAGUGCCUAAAAUGUAAGGGUGAACCUCUCCUCUUAUGUAAAAUAGAUCAAACAGUUCGGAUUGGGCAAGUGAUCGAUUGCUUUGAUCAUCUAAGAUAGCAU